UAAUAACGUAUAUUCUGAAAAUCAAACUCGGCAAAUAAACGAAUACGUUGAAAAGUUGAAACUCAAAUUCGUAAAAGCCCUAAAUGAUGAAAUGAAUAAUGCAGAAUUAUUUAACAGUUAUUACACAGAAAAGAUUUUCUUAGUAAAGGAGUAUUCCAAAAUUCUAAGCAAGCUGUCAAUUCGCAACAAUCAAAUCGGAAGACAGAGACAGUAUUAUAAUAGAUUUUUCCCUCAGUGGAAAUUAUAAAAAAUUUUACAUGCGUGGACAUACUUCCUAUGAAUAAUUU
Molecule: non-coding RNA, 287 nt
Organism: Nylanderia fulva
Lineage: Eukaryota; Metazoa; Arthropoda; Insecta; Hymenoptera; Formicidae
Source: RefSeq, a predicted model, not a curated record